Molecule: ribosomal RNA, 294 nt
Filed under: Crotalus armstrongi (Mexican dusky rattlesnake)
Lineage: Eukaryota; Metazoa; Chordata; Lepidosauria; Squamata; Viperidae
Description: partial 16S ribosomal RNA
Source: RNAcentral
GCUGUCCGGACAACAAACCACAAAUAUAUCCUACUAAAUAAACAAAACAUUUGACCAACCCAGUAGAUGCGAUCGAACAGUCAAAAGUCACAAUCAAAGUACCGCAAGGGAACUAUCACCAAGCAAAAAAUAGCAAAGACUAACCCUUGUACCUUUUGCAUCAUGGUUUAGCAAGAACAUAAGGACAAGAAGAAUCAUAGCCCACCCCCCGAAACCGAACGAGCUAUUUUUAAGCAGUCUUACGGACGCACCCUUCUAUGUAGCAAAAUNNUGGGAAGACCUAAAAAUAGAGGU